RNAcentral lists this ribosomal RNA (264 nucleotides) under Cosmoscarta gravelyi. RNAcentral's name for it is "partial small subunit ribosomal RNA". It matches the Rfam family "Eukaryotic small subunit ribosomal RNA", at positions 1241 to 1511 of the family's 1831-position model. Lineage: Eukaryota; Metazoa; Arthropoda; Insecta; Hemiptera; Cercopidae. The record is from RNAcentral.
UGACAGAUUGAGAGCUCUUUCUUGAUUCGGUGGGUGGUGGUGCAUGGCCGUUCUUAGUUGGUGGAGCGAUUUGUCUGGUUAAUUCCGAUAACGAACGAGACUCUAGCCUGCUAACUAGGCGAUUUCCGGUACCCACAAUAGUGUUACCGGCGAUUCAAUUUCUUCUUAGAGGGACAGGCGGCUCCUAGCCGCACGAGACUGAGCAAUAACAGGUCUGUGAUGCCCUUAGAUGUCCUGGGCCGCACGCGCGCUACACUGAAGGAA